UACGUAGGGGGCAAGCGUUGUCCGGAUUUAUUGGGCGUAAAGAGCGUGUAGGCGGCCAGGUAGGUCCGCUGUGAAAACUCGAGGCUCAACCUCGAGAUGUCGGCGGAAACCAUCUGGCUAGAGUCCGGAAGAGGAGAGUGGAAUUCCUGGUGUAGCGGUGAAAUGCGUAGAGAUCAUGAGGAAGACCAGUGGCGAAGGCGGGUCUCUGGACAGUUCCUGACACUGAGGCACGAAGGCCAGGGGAGCAAACGGG
Molecule: ribosomal RNA, 253 nt
Filed under: uncultured bacterium
Lineage: Bacteria
Description: partial 16S ribosomal RNA
Rfam family: Bacterial small subunit ribosomal RNA
Source: RNAcentral